GCUUGCUUUCUUUGCUGGCGACCGGCGAACGGGUGAGUAACACGUAUCCAACCUGCCCUUUACUCGGGGAUAGCCUUUCGAAAGAAAGAUCAAUACCCGAUAGCAUAAUGAUUCCGCAUGGUUUCAUUAUUAAAGGAUUCCGGUAAAGGAUGGGGAUGCGUUCCAUUAGGUUGUUUGGUGAGGUAACGGCCCACCAAGCCUUCGAUGGAUAGGGGUUCUGAGAGGAAGGUCCCCCACAUUGGAACUGAGACACGGUCCAAACUCCUACGGGAGGCAGCAGUGAGGAAUAUUGGUCAAUGGGCGUUAGCCUGAACCAGCCAAGUAGCGUGAAGGAUGAAGGCUCUAUGGGUCGUAAACUUCUUUUAUAUAAGAAUAAAGUGCAGUAUGUAUACUGUUUUGUAUGUAUUAUAUGAAUAAGGAUCGGCUAACUCCGUGCCAGCAGCCGCGGUAAUACGGAGGAUCCGAGCGUUAUCCGGAUUUAUUGGGUUUAAAGGGAGCGUAGGUGGACUGGUAAGUCAGUUGUGAAAGUUUGCGGCUCAACCGUAAAAUUGCAGUUGAUACUGUCAGUCUUGAGUACAGUAGAGGUGGGCGGAAUUCGUGGUGUAGCGGUGAAAUGCUUAGAUAUCACGAAGAACUCCGAUUGCGAAGGCAGCUCACUGGACUGCAACU
This 669-nucleotide ribosomal RNA is filed under the name uncultured Bacteroidales bacterium. RNAcentral describes it as "bacterial SSU rRNA". It matches the Rfam family "Bacterial small subunit ribosomal RNA", at positions 78 to 741 of the family's 1533-position model. The record is from RNAcentral. Lineage: Bacteria; Pseudomonadati; Bacteroidota; Bacteroidia; Bacteroidales.